Molecule: small RNA, 898 nt
Filed under: Doratomyces sp. UTHSC DI14-69
Lineage: Eukaryota; Fungi; Ascomycota; Sordariomycetes; Microascales; Microascaceae
Description: eukaryotic LSU rRNA
Rfam family: Eukaryotic large subunit ribosomal RNA
Source: RNAcentral
GCGGAGGAAAAGAAACCAACAGGGAUUGCCUCAGUAACGGCGAGUGAAGCGGCAACAGCUCAAAUUUGAAAUCUGGUCCCCUCUGGGGGCCCGAGUUGUAAUUUGAAGAGGAUGCUUUUGGCGAGGCGCCUUCCGAGUGCCCUGGAACGGGACGCCACAGAGGGUGAGAGCCCCGUAUGGUAGGACGCCGAGCCUCUGUAAAGCUCCUUCGACGAGUCGAGUAGUUUGGGAAUGCUGCUCAAAAUGGGAGGUAAACCCCUUCUAAAGCUAAAUAUUGGCCAGAGACCGAUAGCGCACAAGUAGAGUGAUCGAAAGAUGAAAAGCACUUUGAAAAGAGAGUUAAACAGCACGUGAAAUUGUUGAAAGGGAAGCGCUUGCGACCAGACUUGCGCCCGUCGGAUCAACCGUCCCUCGUGGGCGGCGCACUCCGGCGGGCUCAGGCCAGCAUCAGUUUUCCUGGGGGUAGAAAGGCGGUGGGAAUGUAGCUCUUCGGAGUGUUAUAGCCCGCCGCGUAAUGCCCUCGGGGGGACUGAGGACCGCGCGUAUGCAAGGAUGCUGGCGUAAUGGUCGUCAGCGACCCGUCUUGAAACACGGACCAAGGAGUCGUCCUAAUAUGCGAGUGUACGGGUGUAAAACCCCUGCGCGUAAUGAAAGUGAACGGAGGUGAGAGCUUCGGCGCAUCAUCGACCGAUCCUGAUGUUCUCGGAUGGAUUUGAGUAAGAGCAUAUUGGGCCGGACCCGAAAGAAGGUGAACUAUGCCUGUAUAGGGUGAAGCCAGAGGAAACUCUGGUGGAGGCUCGCAGCGGUUCUGACGUGCAAAUCGAUCGUCAAAUAUGGGCAUGGGGGCGAAAGACUAAUCGAACCUUCUAGUAGCUGGUUUCCGCCGAAUUUCCCCUCG